ACAGUGGGGAUGUGGGAGGAUACAGGAAUGAUGCAGGAUGGCUGAGAUCUGGUAGCAGUUCUAUCUCUGGAAACGACAGCCCAUCCACAGAAGCCACAUGGGUUCGGACCCACAGGGCCCGCAGGAGGACAGAGAGAGAUAAAGAGCUCUAGACUGCUGCUCUGGGCCUUUUGUUUUCUGUGGGCCACUGCUCUACACCCAGUGACUGUUAUCUGGAGAUUAAGGCUUUAUUGUGAGCACAGCUGCCAGAAAAUAAUGUAGAGAUUCUGAGCAAAUCUGUUCACUAAUUCCUAGCGUGUCUAAAGCAAGCACAGUGUAGGGGGGCAGAGAGAUUGAGAUUGUUUUCCUCCAAGUGAUGUUGUGUUGUGGAUGGAGCCCCAGCAUAUUGAUAACGAACAGCUCUCCAAGUGGUUCCCUCAGUCCGCAGAGUGCCUGUUUGUCACAGGCCCGGUGUCACAACUUCCUGCGCUGGUGCAACGCAUUGUUCCACUUCAGCACAUCUGCUCAGUGCUGGUUCUGACACUCGUCUGGGCUGUAUUGACACAUACAGAUUUGGAAACAUUUUUUUCACAGAAAUAAAUUCCACAGCUUCCAGGAAGACAUUUCCUCUAGAAUGAAGAAAUUCUGCUAGUUUAACACUUCAAACUCGAGCCCCGAGGAGAGGAAAGCACUGCUCCCACUUACAGCCCUUAUAAACUACACGUGCCUCAGCGCUAGGAAGCCUGUCC
Lepisosteus oculatus (spotted gar) is the source of this 728-nucleotide RNA transcript. RefSeq lists it as uncharacterized. The record is from RefSeq and is a predicted model, not a curated record. Lineage: Eukaryota; Metazoa; Chordata; Actinopteri; Semionotiformes; Lepisosteidae.